AAGGGCAAUGAGGGUUAUAAUGAGGCGGUGACUGAGUGAGACUUCAAGAAGUUAAGAAAUAGGAGGUGGGUGGAGAUCUAAUGUCUAAGGAGGAGAGAGGAAGAGAGACAGACAGACAAGACAGAGGAUGUGAGCAGGAUAGGUCAGAGGGAAGAAGAAAAGCAAGACUAGACACAGAAAGACAAAGACCACCAAGACAGGAAGCAGACAUGGAAGUCAACUCUUUCCAAAUGAAAAUCUGUAUCAAGUUGCUGGCUGGCUGUCUUGUCCCUGUUGGCGCAUCGAAACUAUGCCGGGUCACAGAGUGUUUGGACGGGUCUUCCUGUUGUGAUUCUGAGGCCAAAGUCUACCUGGACUACAGCUGGUACGGGCCACUAUUUAUCUGCAUGUUGAUUAUGUUCUCUGUCCUAUGCCUAUGUGGUAUCUGUAAUAAUGUUUGUCGUUUCCGAAAUCGGUCUACACCACCAUCACCAAGAGAUACGCCUCUUAUAAACAUGGGUGCACCACCACCAUAUGAAGAGGUUACAGCCAAACCAUUCCUUUACCCUCCCAGUACCUCCAGUCCGCCAUCUUACAGCAGUGUGAUACUCAACAACCCUGACCCUACACCUCCUGUUUUGGGGGUUCAAAGCCGAUGAUAGAGACACUUGAAUCUCACUUAUGUUUACUCACAGAUGUCACACAGAUCAGUGGAGGGAUCUGUGGGGCUACUGCAUGGAGCAAUGACAUGGAGAUUUGCAGAAUAAAGACAAAGUAGAAGAAAACCACCUAAAGGUCAUAAGGAGGAACCCAGAAAGCGACACAGAUUACUUCUAGUAAUGAGAAGAGAAUUUGUACAGUGAAAAAUAAUGAUGAUGAGUUAUGGAGAUGUUAUAUGGAGUAAUAGGAGGAGAUAUAGGGAGAGGUUAUAUGGAGUAAUAGGAGGAGAUAUAGGGAGAGGUUAUAUGGAGUAAUAGGAGGAGAUAUAGGGAGAAGUUAUAUAGGGAGAGAUUAUAUGGAGUAGUAGGAGGAGAUAUAGAGAGAUAGUAUAUGGAGUAAUAGGAGGAGAUAAGGUGAGGGGUUAUAUGGAGUAAUAGGAGGAUAUAUAGGGAGAGGUUAUAUG
RNA transcript from Bufo bufo (common toad), 1102 nucleotides. It is a transcript of the gene named transmembrane protein 92, with no coding region annotated. The record is from RefSeq and is a predicted model, not a curated record. The transcript has 6 exons. Lineage: Eukaryota; Metazoa; Chordata; Amphibia; Anura; Bufonidae.